CCCUUCGAUGUUCUGGGCUGCACGCGCGCUACACUGAUAAAGUCAACGAGUUUACAACCUCUUCCGAAAGGAACGGGUAAUCUUUUGAAACUUUAUCGUGAUGGGGAUAGAUGAUUGCAAUUAUUCGUCUUGAACGAGGAAUGCCUCGUAAGCGCAGUUCAUCAGACUGCGUUGAUUACGUCCCUGCCCUUUGUACACACCGCCCGCCGCUCCUACCGAUUGGAUGGUCCGGUGAAGUCUUCGGAUCGUGGGUUGUCUCACUGCUGGUUCGCUAGUAGUGGCUCCCGUGAAAAGUUGCCUAAACCUUAUCAUCUAGAGGAAGGAGAAGUCGUAACA
Molecule: ribosomal RNA, 336 nt
Filed under: uncultured eukaryote
Lineage: Eukaryota
Description: partial 18S ribosomal RNA
Rfam family: Eukaryotic small subunit ribosomal RNA
Source: RNAcentral